UCGCCUGUUUAUCAAAAACAUCGCCUCCAGGAACUUAUAUAUUGGAGGUACUGCCUGCCCAGUGACUCUGUUUAACGGCCGCGGUAUUCUGACCGUGCAAAGGUAGCAUAAUCACUUGUCCUUUAAAUAGGGACUAGUAUGAAUGGCAAAACGAAAAUUUAACUGUCUUCUUUAUUUAGUCAAUAAAACUGAUCUUUUCGUACAAAAGCGAAAAUACUAAUAUAAGACGAGAAGACCCUAUGGAGCUUUAAACACGUCAUCAACUGUAAAUAAAACUAUACCUAUGAUUGACUGUUUUUGGUUGGGGCGACCACGGAGAAAAUAAAACCUCCGAAUUAAAUGCUUAGAAUACAUAUCUGCAAUAGGAUAUCUAAAUUUAUUGACCCAAUAAACUUGAUCAACGAACCAAGUUACCCUAGGGAUAACAGCGCAAUCUUAUCUGAGAGUCCCUAUCGAAGAGAAGGUUUACGACCUCGAUGUUGGAUCAGGAUAUCCAAGUAGUGCAACCGCUACUAACGGUUGUUU
Molecule: ribosomal RNA, 525 nt
Filed under: Boulengerula boulengeri (Usambara bluish-gray caecilian)
Lineage: Eukaryota; Metazoa; Chordata; Amphibia; Gymnophiona; Herpelidae
Description: partial 16S ribosomal RNA
Rfam family: Bacterial large subunit ribosomal RNA
Source: RNAcentral